AUUGAACGCUGGCGGCAUGCUUUACACAUGCAAGUCGGACGGCAGCACAGAGAAGCUUGCUUCUUGGGUGGCGAGUGGCGAACGGGUGAGUAACAUAUCGGAACGUACCGAGCAGUGGGGGAUAACUAAUCGAAAGAUUAGCUAAUACCGCAUAUUUUCUGAGGAAGAAAGCAGGGGACCAUUUGGCCUUGCGCUGUUUGAGCGGCCGAUAUCUGAUUAGCUAGUUGGUGGGGUAAAGGCCUACCAAGGCGACGAUCAGUAGCGGGUCUGAGAGGAUGAUCCGCCACACUGGGACUGAGACACGGCCCAGACUCCUACGGGAGGCAGCAGUGGGGAAUUUUGGACAAUGGGCGCAAGCCUGAUCCAGCCAUGCCGCGUGUCUGAAGAAGGCCUUCGGGUUGUAAAGGACUUUUGUCAGGGAAGAAAAGGGCGGGGUUAAUACCCCUGUCUGAUGACGGUACCUGAAGAAUAAGCACCGGCUAACUACGUGCCAGCAGCCGCGGUAAUACGUAGGGUGCGAGCGUUAAUCGGAAUUACUGGGCGUAAAGCGGGCGCAGACGGUUACUUAAGCAGGAUGUGAAAUCCCCGGGCUCAACCUGGGAACUGCGUUCUGAACUGGGUGACUAGAGUGUGUCAGAGGGAGGUAGAAUUCCACGUGUAGCAGUGAAAUGCGUAGAGAUGUGGAGGAAUACCGAUGGCGAAGGCAGCCUCCUGGGAUAACACUGACGUUCAUGCCCGAAAGCGUGGGUAGCAAACAGG
This 759-nucleotide ribosomal RNA is filed under the name uncultured Neisseria sp. Its description in RNAcentral is "bacterial SSU rRNA". It matches the Rfam family "Bacterial small subunit ribosomal RNA", at positions 28 to 776 of the family's 1533-position model. The record is from RNAcentral. Lineage: Bacteria; Pseudomonadati; Pseudomonadota; Betaproteobacteria; Neisseriales; Neisseriaceae.